RNAcentral lists this ribosomal RNA (467 nucleotides) under uncultured bacterium. Its description in RNAcentral is "partial 16S ribosomal RNA". It matches the Rfam family "Bacterial small subunit ribosomal RNA", at positions 29 to 507 of the family's 1533-position model. The record is from RNAcentral.
ACGAACGCUGGCGGCGUGCUUAACACAUGCAAGUCGAACGGAAAGGCCCUGCUUUUGUGGGGUGCUCGAGUGGCGAACGGGUGAGUAACACGUGAGUAACCUGCCCUUGACUUUGGGAUAACUUCAGGAAACUGGGGCUAAUACCGGAUAGGAGCUCCUGCUGCAUGGUGGGGGUUGGAAAGUUUCGGCGGUUGGGGAUGGACUCGCGGCUUAUCAGCUUGUUGGUGGGGUAGUGGCUUACCAAGGCUUUGACGGGUAGCCGGCCUGAGAGGGUGACUGGCCACAUUGGGACUGAGAUACGGCCCAGACUCCUACGGGAGGCAGCAGUGGGGAAUAUUGCACAAUGGGCGGAAGCCUGAUGCAGCAACGCCGCGUGCGGGAUGACGGCCUUCGGGUUGUAAACCGCUUUCGCCUGUGACGAAGCGUGAGUGACGGUAAUGGGUAAAGAAGCACCGGCUAACUACGUG